This 46-nucleotide non-coding RNA is filed under the name Xyrichtys novacula (pearly razorfish). It matches the Rfam family "Histone 3' UTR stem-loop". From Rfam's summary of the family: The mRNAs of metazoan histone genes lack a poly-A tail. The record is from RNAcentral. Lineage: Eukaryota; Metazoa; Chordata; Actinopteri; Labriformes; Labridae.
UCAAGGGCUCUUUUAAGAGCCACUCACAUGUCCUCUAGAGAGUGAU